CAGCAGCCGCGGGAAUACGUAGGGUGCAAGCGUUAAUCGGAAUUACUGGGCGUAAAGCGUGCGCAGGCGGUUAUAUAAGACAGAUGUGAAAUCCCCGGGCUCAACCUGGGAACUGCAUUUGUGACUGUAUAGCUAGAGUACGGCAGAGGGGGAUGGAAUUCCGCGUGUAGCAGUGAAAUGCGUAGAUAUGCGGAGGAACACCGAUGGCGAAGGCAAUCCCCUGGGCCUGUACUGACGCUCAUGCACGAAAGCGUGGGGAGCAAACAGGAUUAGAUACCCCUGUAGUCCCUGUCUUUAUACA
RNAcentral lists this ribosomal RNA (301 nucleotides) under uncultured bacterium. RNAcentral describes it as "partial 16S ribosomal RNA". It matches the Rfam family "Bacterial small subunit ribosomal RNA", at positions 509 to 809 of the family's 1533-position model. The record is from RNAcentral.